CCUACGGGGGGCAGCAGUGGGGAAUAUUGCACAAUGGGGGGAACCCUGAUGCAGCAACGCCGCGUGGGUGAAGAAGUACUCCGGUAUGUAAAGCCCUGUCAGCAGGGAAGAAAAUGACGGUACCUGACCAAGAAGCCCCGGCUAACUACGUGCCAGCAGCCGCGGUAAGACGUAGGGGGCAAGCGUUAUCCGGAUUUACUGGGUGUAAAGGGAGCGUAGACGGCAAGGCAAGUCUGGAGUGAAAGCCCGGGGCCCAACCACGGGACUGCUUUGGAAACUGUGUUGCUGGAGUGCAGGAGGGGUAAGCGGAAUUCCUAGUGUAGCGGUGAAAUGCGUAGAUAUUAGGAGGAACACCGGUGGCGAAGGCGGCUUACUGGACUGUAACUGACGUUGAGGCUCGAAGGCGUGGGGAGCAAACAGGAUUAGAUACCCGAGUAGUC
RNAcentral lists this ribosomal RNA (440 nucleotides) under uncultured bacterium. RNAcentral describes it as "partial 16S ribosomal RNA". It matches the Rfam family "Bacterial small subunit ribosomal RNA", at positions 338 to 795 of the family's 1533-position model. The record is from RNAcentral.